Molecule: long non-coding RNA, 323 nt
Organism: Cyprinodon tularosa
Lineage: Eukaryota; Metazoa; Chordata; Actinopteri; Cyprinodontiformes; Cyprinodontidae
Exons: 2
Source: RefSeq, a predicted model, not a curated record
UUAACUGUUUUUCUCCUGUGAAGCUCUGGAAGAGCUUAACCUGCCGAGCCUGCCCUCUGAGCCAAACCUGAAGACUCUCUCCUGGAUUUCCAAGCAGCUCUGGAUUUAGAGCUGGAAACUCAAACCAAGGUCAACACCCUCACUAGAAGUAAGAGGCUGAAACAGUUAUCGGACUCUGCUGAACCAAACCAUCUCCGGACCCAACAGUUCCUCUCCCAAAGUCUCUUCUACGCAUCUCAAGACUCCAGUGAACCAGUCCCCAGGCCUGAACCAGCAAACUGUACAUUUACUACGUGCUUGUGUAACAAUAAACUUGUUAACUU